UUUGUACGUAGGAGCCUCUUCCUUCUCAACCAUUUGAAUUUCGGAUUGAGAAUGUUGAACUACGUUUGACGAAGAUUCGCCCAACUCGAUAUUAUAAGCAGCAUUUGUGAUAAGCUCCUCCCCAGCCAUUUGAAUUUCGGAUUGAGAAUGUUCAAUGUCUGAUCGAUAUUCGCCCAACUCGAUAUCAGUAUUAUUUGCGAUAAGCUCCUUCUCUAUGAAAGCAACCACAUCGUUCGAUACUAGCUUCUCCUCCUUAAUCUCUUCGCUUAUUUUCGGCGCAACAAGGUUUGUAGGAGCCUCUUCCUCCUCAGCCAUUUGAAUUUCGGAUUGAGAAUGUUCAAUGUCUGAUCGAUAUCAACAUCAUUUUUGAGAAUUUCCAUUAAUUUUUUGUUCCAUUCUAGUAGCUUCUCCUCCUUACCCUCCCCGCUUAUCAUUUUCGGCGCAACAAGGUUUGUAGGAGCCUCUUCCUCUUCAGCCAUUUGAAUUUGGGACUGAGAAUAUUCGCCCAACUCGAUAUCAUGUAUUUGGAUUUUAGAUGCCAU
Molecule: long non-coding RNA, 542 nt
Filed under: Zostera marina
Lineage: Eukaryota; Viridiplantae; Streptophyta; Magnoliopsida; Alismatales; Zosteraceae
Description: long non-coding RNA (ZMAR_LNC000139)
Source: RNAcentral